Molecule: microRNA precursor, 66 nt
Filed under: Bombyx mori (domestic silkworm)
Lineage: Eukaryota; Metazoa; Arthropoda; Insecta; Lepidoptera; Bombycidae
Description: mir-2774 microRNA precursor family
Rfam family: mir-2774 microRNA precursor family
Source: Rfam by way of RNAcentral
ACAACAUUUGGACCGUCGGUCUACCGAGCAAUAUCACCUACUCGGUGGAAAAUUUUCCUUCCGAAU